UUAAGCGACUAAGCGUACACGGUGGAUGCCCUGGCAGUCAGAGGCGAUGAAGGACGUGCUAAUCUGCGAUAAGCGUCGGUAAGGUGAUAUGAACCGUUAUAACCGGCGAUUUCCGAAUGGGGAAACCCAGUGUGUUUCGACACACUAUCAUUAACUGAAUCCAUAGGUUAAUGAGGCGAACCGGGGGAACUGAAACAUCUAAGUACCCCGAGGAAAAGAAAUCAACCGAGAUUCCCCCAGUAGCGGCGAGCGAACGGGGAGCAGCCCAGAGCCUGAAUCAGUGUGUGUGUUAGUGGAAGCGUCUGGAAAGGCGCGCGAUACAGGGUGACAGCCCCGUACACAAAAAUGCACAUAUUGUGAGCUCGAUGAGUAGGGCGGGACACGUGGUAUCCUGUCUGAAUAUGGGGGGACCAUCCUCCAAGGCUAAAUACUCCUGACUGACCGAUAGUGAACCAGUACCGUGAGGGAAAGGCGAAAAGAACCCCGGCGAGGGGAGUGAAAAAGAACCUGAAACCGUGUACGUACAAGCAGUGGGAGCACGCUUAGGCGUGUGACUGCGUACCUUUUGUAUAAUGGGUCAGCGACUUAUAUUCUGUAGCAAGGUUAACCGAAUAGGGGAGCCGAAGGGAAACCGAGUCUUAACUGGGCGUUAAGUUGCAGGGUAUAGACCCGAAACCCGGUGAUCUAGCCAUGGGCAGGUUGAAGGUUGGGUAACACUAACUGGAGGACCGAACCGACUAAUGUUGAAAAAUUAGCGGAUGACUUGUGGCUGGGGGUGAAAGGCCAAUCAAACCGGGAGAUAGCUGGUUCUCCCCGAAAGCUAUUUAGGUAGCGCCUCGUGAAUUCAUCUCCGGGGGUAGAGCACUGUUUCGGCAAGGGGGUCAUCCCGACUUACCAACCCGAUGCAAACUGCGAAUACCGGAGAAUGUUAUCACGGGAGACACACGGCGGGUGCUAACGUCCGUCGUGAAGAGGGAAACAACCCAGACCGCCAGCUAAGGUCCCAAAGUCAUGGUUAAGUGGGAAACGAUGUGGGAAGGCCCAGACAGCCAGGAUGUUGGCUUAGAAGCAGCCAUCAUUUAAAGAAAGCGUAAUAGCUCACUGGUCGAGUCGGCCUGCGCGGAAGAUGUAACGGGGCUAAACCAUGCACCGAAGCUGCGGCAGCGACACUGUGUGUUGUUGGGUAGGGGAGCGUUCUGUAAGCCUGCGAAGGUGUGCUGUGAGGCAUGCUGGAGGUAUCAGAAGUGCGAAUGCUGACAUAAGUAACGAUAAAGCGGGUGAAAAGCCCGCUCGCCGGAAGACCAAGGGUUCCUGUCCAACGUUAAUCGGGGCAGGGUGAGUCGACCCCUAAGGCGAGGCCGAAAGGCGUAGUCGAUGGGAAACAGGUUAAUAUUCCUGUACUUGGUGUUACUGCGAAGGGGGGACGGAGAAGGCUAUGUUGGCCGGGCGACGGUUGUCCCGGUUUAAGCGUGUAGGCUGGUUUUCCAGGCAAAUCCGGAAAAUCAAGGCUGAGGCGUGAUGACGAGGCACUACGGUGCUGAAGCAACAAAUGCCCUGCUUCCAGGAAAAGCCUCUAAGCAUCAGGUAACAUCAAAUCGUACCCCAAACCGACACAGGUGGUCAGGUAGAGAAUACCAAGGCGCUUGAGAGAACUCGGGUGAAGGAACUAGGCAAAAUGGUGCCGUAACUUCGGGAGAAGGCACGCUGAUAUGUAGGUGAAGUCCCUCGCGGAUGGAGCUGAAAUCAGUCGAAGAUACCAGCUGGCUGCAACUGUUUAUUAAAAACACAGCACUGUGCAAACACGAAAGUGGACGUAUACGGUGUGACGCCUGCCCGGUGCCGGAAGGUUAAUUGAUGGGGUUAGCCGCAAGGCGAAGCUCUUGAUCGAAGCCCCGGUAAACGGCGGCCGUAACUAUAACGGUCCUAAGGUAGCGAAAUUCCUUGUCGGGUAAGUUCCGACCUGCACGAAUGGCGUAAUGAUGGCCAGGCUGUCUCCACCCGAGACUCAGUGAAAUUGAACUCGCUGUGAAGAUGCAGUGUACCCGCGGCAAGACGGAAAGACCCCGUGAACCUUUACUAUAGCUUGACACUGAACAUUGAGCCUUGAUGUGUAGGAUAGGUGGGAGGCUUAGAAGUGUGGACGCCAGUCUGCAUGGAGCCGACCUUGAAAUACCACCCUUUAAUGUUUGAUGUUCUAACGUUGACCCGUAAUCCGGGUUGCGGACAGUGUCUGGUGGGUAGUUUGACUGGGGCGGUCUCCUCCUAAAGAGUAACGGAGGAGCACGAAGGUUGGCUAAUCCUGGUCGGACAUCAGGAGGUUAGUGCAAUGGCAUAAGCCAGCUUGACUGCGAGCGUGACGGCGCGAGCAGGUGCGAAAGCAGGUCAUAGUGAUCCGGUGGUUCUGAAUGGAAGGGCCAUCGCUCAACGGAUAAAAGGUACUCCGGGGAUAACAGGCUGAUACCGCCCAAGAGUUCAUAUCGACGGCGGUGUUUGGCACCUCGAUGUCGGCUCAUCACAUCCUGGGGCUGAAGUAGGUCCCAAGGGUAUGGCUGUUCGCCAUUUAAAGUGGUACGCGAGCUGGGUUUAGAACGUCGUGAGACAGUUCGGUCCCUAUCUGCCGUGGGCGCUGGAGAACUGAGGGGGGCUGCUCCUAGUACGAGAGGACCGGAGUGGACGCAUCACUGGUGUUCGGGUUGUCAUGCCAAUGGCACUGCCCGGUAGCUAAAUGCGGAAGAGAUAAGUGCUGAAAGCAUCUAAGCACGAAACUUGCCCCGAGAUGAGUUCUCCCUGACUCCUUGAGAGUCCUGAAGGAACGUUGAAGACGACGACGUUGAUAGGCCGGGUGUGUAAGCGCAGCGAUGCGUUGAGCUAACCGGUACUAAUGAACCGUGAGGCUUAACCU
Molecule: ribosomal RNA, 2902 nt
Filed under: Escherichia coli
Lineage: Bacteria; Pseudomonadati; Pseudomonadota; Gammaproteobacteria; Enterobacterales; Enterobacteriaceae
Description: 23S ribosomal RNA
Rfam family: Bacterial large subunit ribosomal RNA
Source: RNAcentral